UCUGCCCCUCCCCUGUUCAUGCUCUGUCUGUCUCAAAAAUAAAAAUAAAACGUUAAAAAAAAAUUAAAAAAAAUAAAAUCUCCUUUAAAAAAAAAUAAAAUGUUUUGUUAGAAACGAGGUAGAUCUGUUCACCGUAAAGAGUGAUUAGUCUACAUUUUAACUCCACUUCGGGGUCUCUUAGUCCUCAGGGACCCUUUCCAACGACCUUAUGCUGGGUUGACUCUUUUGUUAAAGUUCCUCAUUGGUUUCUUGCCUCUAGUGUCCUCCCUUCCAGACUCGGACUCAGUGGUCCUUUUCAAGCUGUUUCCCUCCCCGUUUUUGUUUUUUACCCCUGAUGCCCCUGGAGCAUUUUCAAAGGAAACUUUUUGGUUCAAGAUAGACAGGAAAGAAGUAGAACUGCUUUGCUGGAAAUAGGGUUGUGGAGCUGGGAUGGGUAGGCUUUGCUCUGGCUGUGCAGCCCAGGGUGGCCCAAGAACCCCUAAGGCAAUUUGAGGUAAUCUGGAGCUUUUAACUGUGUGGCCCUGCUGCUGCCAAGGUUUUUCCUGAAGUGCACAUUUGAGUAAUUUAUUCCCUUGAAAACUCCAGCCACUCUAGCAAAGGAAAUUAGUUGGUGGUUCUUAACUUGGGUAUUGCUCUCCCUAGGGAGAUGCACUGUUACAAUGUUUCUGUUUCACAGUAGCUGAUGAGGGUUGGGGGCACUUCUGGCAAUUGGUAUUGACUCAGAUAAACACCCUGUGGUGUACACCAUUUCGGCCCUGAAUACCACAGUGCCCUUGAUGAGGGAGAGACACUGGUCUUGGGAAGAAAGGCCAAUCUUCUGUGUGGCAUUCUUUUGUUCUUCCUCCACUUGUGUGGGCCCCAGCCUCCUGCCAGGCCUGCCCUCUCAAUCAGCUGGUAGUUGCUUAUCACCAUGUCCUUGCACCUGACCCUAUUCUUUCAGGGGUCUGGUCCAGCCAUAGACCUUUCCCUCUGCCAGGAAUGCUCUUUCCACCUGGCAGUGCCUCCUCUUUGUCUCCCAGCCCUCUCAGGUGAUGUAGAUCAGACUCUUCUCCAUCUCUCUAGCCAGCCACCAUCCCUAAGACUCAGCCCAUUGAGGUGGGCCUGAUGACUUCCAUCUGUGUAAUCCCAGUGGCACGUGGCACGUGCAAAUUUGGUAUCUGAAACUGCUGAGAAAAUAGUUUGGUAAUUGAAGUCAGUGUGCCACUUGAUCUUGGUGAAAGCCCUGUUAAGUUCAGCAGGGUAAGGAGAAUGGGGAUGGACCCUCGGGUGCAUGAGGCCUAUUCCUCCACCCUCUGCCAAGCUCAGGGUUGCUUGUUUUCUGGAUACUGCCCUUUGAUUUGAACCCUCACUUCCUUUGCAUCCAACCGUCUUCAUCCCCACCCACAUCCCUUACCUGGAACAUACCUAGGUGCUGCUGGCUUGGUGGAGAGAUGUGGCCUUGUCAUUAAAGUACAAGUGACGUGCAUCUGAUUUGUGUCUCUUUCAGAGCAGUACAACUCUAAAACUCUUAUUGAGAAAAAAAGAUCAGCUGUUACUGCAAAAACUAUAAAGCCUGCAGAAGACAAAGGUGGAUUGGUUGAUUUCAAACCAGCCAACCUAGGAAAAGGUUUCAGAUGAUGAUGACUCUAUAGAUGAUUUUCUCAAUAGUGAUGAGGAAAAGGACAGUUUUCUUUGCAGAAUUUCAAGAAUUUAGGUAAGUCUGUGCUGUGUUUACUUCUUUGUCAACCACUGAUAUAUUUAAUCCAAUGUGUAGAAUGUGAUUUUGUUAUUAAUAAUUAGUUGAUCCUUGAACUGUGCAGGGGUUGCAUGCCCCGCUCCCCCCCAACUAUCAUGCAGUUGAAAAUCUAUAUAACUUUUGACUCUCCCAGAAUUUAACUACUAAUAGCCUAGUGUUGACUGGAAGCCUUACCAAUAACAUAGUUGAUUAACACAUUUUGUAUAUGUAUUAUAUGCUGUCUUCUUACAAUAAAUAGGAAAAGGAAAUGUUAAAAAAAUCAUAAGGAAGAAAAUACACUUACAGCACUGUAUUUAUGGGGAAAAAAUCUGUAUAAGUGGGCCUGUGCAGUUCAAUCAAGCCUGUUGUUCAAGGUCAGCUGCACUUGAGUAUGGCAUGCAGAGCCCUUCAGUUGCAUGAUUCUGUGAAUAUUUACUCAGGGCUUCAACACCUCCCAGCCUGCCUACAACUCUCUUGCCCUGGAAUCCUACUGGGUUUGUGGGUUAGCAAAAUUCUCCUCCUUCAAGCCUUGGUUCAGGUUACCCUUCCUUAUCUAAACUUCACUUUUUGUCUUUCUCAGAAAUAAGCAUUUUUCACCUUUCCAUGGGGCCUUGUAAUGUACCACUUAUUUUAUAGUAAUUUCUCUCUCCCACACUAAUUUGUAGGGCAAGGGCCUGCAUUUAUUCCCAUGUUCCCAGUGCUCCGUAUAUAGUCUAGCCAUUAAUGUGGACAGGGCAAUCCCAGGAUCUGGUUUUUCAGAGGGAUGUGGGUGUUAACAGUGCCCAGCAUUUGUGUAGGACUGUGCGGUCAGCCCUUAUAGCAGUUCUGUGUGUGAUUAGUGGGCCAGUGUAAUUCCUAAAGAUAGAUGGGAGUUUCAUUGUUCUCAUCGUAGGCUGACUCUGCUUGGCACCCACUCCCAUGGUAGUGAUUAGUUAUACUGAGGGUGAAGCGGAGAUAUGAGGGUAGAUAUGAAAAGUUGUGUAAACUGCAAAAACACACAGAUAUGAGUGUCCGUUCAUUGCUACUGAUCCUGCUUUGUGAGGAUCAAGCACUUGCUUAAACAACAUUCAGGGUAUGUAGUGUAACUGUCCUUACCCAGUGAGAACCUUCAGGCCUAUGAAGAACAAAAACAUGCCAACAGCUUAAUGCUAUUGUUUUCUGUAUUUAUCCCAGUAAGCUAUUUUUUCCUAGUUGAAAUGGCCUAAAGUUAAACUAUUUACAGAGAUGUCAUGAACAAGAAUCUGUGAUGGUAUUUAACUUGGAAAUCGUCUGAUAGGCUGAUCUCACCUUAUUUAUGUGAAGCAUUGGUUCAGUUCUUGGUUUUAAAGGUUAAAGGGAUACAGUUCUUGAUAUUUAUUACAUUAGAUACAUUUAGCUUUUAACUAUCUCCAUCUGUUCCACUGAACUCACAUUGGCUUUCUUGUUCAUUUUUAAGGGGAGUCUGCAGCAUUAAGAAGCCUACUGUUCAGGGGCGCCUGGGUGGUUCAGUCGGUUAAGUGGAAUCGCAAGUGCCCCGGUGCAGUGAUGAACCACACCAGUGAGUCGGAUCUAUGAAGGUAGUAAAAUGUGGGAAGUUCUCUGCGGC
Felis catus (domestic cat) is the source of this 3299-nucleotide RNA transcript. It is a transcript of the gene named zinc finger HIT-type containing 3, with no coding region annotated. Lineage: Eukaryota; Metazoa; Chordata; Mammalia; Carnivora; Felidae. The record is from RefSeq and is a predicted model, not a curated record. The transcript is spliced from 3 exons.